Molecule: long non-coding RNA, 1789 nt
Filed under: Mus musculus (house mouse)
Lineage: Eukaryota; Metazoa; Chordata; Mammalia; Rodentia; Muridae
Description: predicted gene, 30648, transcript variant 2 (Gm30648)
Source: RNAcentral
UGUCUCUUUAUGCUUCCACAUCAUGGAAGCAAAAGAGCCUAUUUCGGAGAAGAAGAUUGGCAAGUCUGGGCAGUGUGUCCCCACCUCUCUCCUGCUUGGUGCUCAGCGCUCUCCCUGGCUACCACUUCAGGCCUGUAAUGAUGUUUGUUUCUAGUCACUUUAUGGCUGUGCUGCUGCAAUUUUAGGGCCUUUUGAGCUGAAUGGCAGGAUAGCUUCCUCAGUCCUGGACUGUUCUACAAAGUACUGAAUCCCUAAACCACAGCUGGCUUCCUCCUGCCUUCAUCUUCUGCUGCCUGGAAGAUGGGGAGAAGAUUUUCAGCAACUUCUCUCAGAAUUCUUCACCUCCUUCCUGUUUUCUGUCAGAGGUUUUCUGUUAUUUCCAAUCCAUUCACUGUUCCCCAGCUUACAGUCACUCUUCCAGGGGAAACAGAUUCCACUUUACCUUGUAUCUACUUUUACUUGAAGAGGAGAUGAAGCAUGAUGGGGGGGGGCGGGGGCAGAUUUCCAUAAAUCUGGGUCAGCAGACUGGCAAGAUAGGGUGGGAGAAGUAAUCCAAGAUGAAAGCUCCAAACUCAAGGUGAUCAAACCCAAGGUCCAAUGCUGUCAAACAGAGUGCAUGUAAAACAGAGGAGAAAACAAAACAAAACAAAAAGAAAAUGAAGGAUUGAAACUAUGUAACAGAUCUGAGUGUCACUUAUGAGUCAAGCCAGCAUCACCUGAAAACAAUCAGCAACAAAACAAAACAAAACCUUAUGUUUCUACUACAUUGUGAAGGAAGGCUCAUGGGCUCCAACAGCUGAGAAACUUGAUUUCCGGGCAAAGGAAAGAUGAGGAAAAAUAGCACCAAUUAACUCUACAUCAAGACAAGAGCCCUAUUUUAGAUAUGAACUGAUUCUUGGAAACUGUAUGGCUAUAUUGUGUGAAUAUUUGUUUCUGUUUUAUUUUUUCUACAGCUUAAAGUUUGAUUUAAAUCAGAGGUUUUUAUUCCUGUCUACUUCUUCAGUUUAGGUGUAGAACUAUAUUCUGGCGACCAAUGUAAUGGGAAUGUUUUAAGAAGGUAAAUACCUUUUGUUAGGUAUCAUGAAGCCUACAUAUAGUUCAACUCUACUUGCACAAAGAAUGGUUAAGGUGAAUUUCUCUCAAAAUUAAUAACUUUGGGAAGGGAAAAAGUCUCUCUCUCUCUCUCUCUCUCUCUCUCUCUCUCUCUCUCUCUCUCUCAUUCACACACACACACACACACACAUCACCUGAAGGAAAGUCCAAACAUAUGAAAAGAUAGUAAUAGUGAUUUAUGGACCAUUUUCUCGGUGUAAAAUCCUCUGCCAAAACAAUGGGCUUACAAAAUCUUUUUUUCUCACUCAAUCCAAAGGCAUAAUCAUUUUACAUACUAAGAAACUCAAAUCACACUGAGUUUCUUGUAUAUUAGCUAUAUGAUCCUUUUUUAUAUUCUGGAUUCUAAUCUAUUCUUUAUUAUUUCAAAUUUUAUAACUUAAAAUGCUUUCCAGGACAUGUGGACUAAACUUGCUGAAAAGUAAAUUAACCUUAUUAUGCUUUAUUCCAGAUAAAGAAUAAUACUGAUAGCAUAGUUUCUUACAUUUCUCAAAAUCAGGGGGAAAAAUGACAGAAACAAAAUAUAUAGAAGUAGAAGUUUAAUUCUGUAUGGACUAGGCACAAAUUUCUCAAGUUAUUGAACUGUGUUGGUAGUAAUGAAAAAGAAAGCAUAAGAAGAAAUAAAUUAACUUGUGGGGAUUUCAACAAUAAAGUAAAGAUUUCACUAAUAAAACUGUAA